GAUGAACGCUGACAGAAUGCUUAACACAUGCAAGUCUACUUGAACUUCGGUUUGGGUGGCGGACGGGUGAGUAACGCGUAAAGAACUUGCCUCACAGAUAGGGACAACAUUUGGAAACGAAUGCUAAUACCUGAUAUUAUGAUUUUAGGGCAUCCUAGAAUUAUGAAAGCUAUAUGCACUGUGAGAGAGCUUUGCGUCCCAUUAGCUAGUUGGAGAGGUAACGGCUCACCAAGGCGAUGAUGGGUAGCCGGCCUGAGAGGGUGAUCGGCCACAAGGGGACUGAGACACGGCCCGUACUCCUACGGGAGGCAGCAGUGGGGAAUAUUGCACAAUGGACCAAGAGUCUGAUCCAGCAAUUCUGUGUGCACGAUGAAGUUUUUCGGAAUGUAAAGUGCUUUCAGUUGGGAAGAAAAAAAUGACGGUACCAACAGAAGAAGUGACGGCUAAAUACGUG
RNAcentral lists this ribosomal RNA (454 nucleotides) under uncultured bacterium. RNAcentral's name for it is "partial 16S ribosomal RNA". It matches the Rfam family "Bacterial small subunit ribosomal RNA", at positions 28 to 507 of the family's 1533-position model. The record is from RNAcentral.